Molecule: transfer RNA, 1134 nt
Filed under: Felis catus (domestic cat)
Lineage: Eukaryota; Metazoa; Chordata; Mammalia; Carnivora; Felidae
Description: lncRNA (ENSFCAG00000049871.1)
Rfam family: tRNA (bases 981-1086)
Source: RNAcentral
CCCGAAGCGGAGCUGCAGAAACAAGGGUCAGAUCCAUUUAUUGGGCCCCUACUUUGCACUCGGGCACAGUCCUGGACCCUCAUCGGGCCUGCCAGGGUUUCUCCGCACAGUUUACCACACCCCCAGGGUCUCUCAGUCCAGCUGCUGGAAAGGGUUUUCGAGCUUGUGGUCCAGGCCCGGAGCUCAGAUUACUCCCAGCAAAGCGGAGAAAGCGGGAAAGCCUGCGUGCGGAGGCGUGGCGCUGUUGUCCCCCACCUGGCAGCAGACGCGUGGGGCUCAGAUCCCAGCAUCCGGGAGCAGCCCGAGGGCGGGGAGGGGCUCCUGCACCCACACUGUCACCCACACCUGCACCGGCUCCCGAACCAACACUCUCAUCUGCACCCGUACAGGCACCUGCACCCGCACCAACACUCUCACCUGCACCCGCACCCUCAUCUGCACCCGUACAGGCACCCGCACCUGCACCCGCACAGGCAUCCGCACCAACACUCUCACCUGCACAGACACCCGCACUGUUACUUACACCUGCACCCUCACCCGCACAGGUACUUACACCUACACCCGCACAGGCACCCGCACCUGCACAGGUGGGCGCAGGCACUUUCGGAGCCCAACAAACUCCCCGGCGCGUGCGAGCACUAUUGGGGAGGAAGAGGCCGCGCCACGGAACUGAGGUGUUUUGUACGUUGGUUGUUGUUCCUCCCUCUCCUGAAAAGAAAACCAGCAGCGCGCCCGGAGGCUGGGACCGGGCCGGGGGCUCGGGACGCCGCGCUCCGGCCGGCCGGCGCCCCAGCCGCGUUUACAAGAACAGCUCCUCUCCUCCCGCCGGCUUCCUCUCCCGGCCACAGGUGGCUCUCUGCUCUUCCAGCUGCUGCGGGCACCUCUGACGUCAGCGCUGCCUCCGGCACAAGCGUGUGCGUCACAGAAGCGCCCGGCCUGGACAUCUACUUCAGUAGAAAAUCUCUCCCCUUCCGCAGGGUGUCAGGAUGGCCGAGUGGUCUAAGGCGCCAGACUCAAGCUCUGCUUCCCCGCGCUGGGGAUUCUGGUCUCCGAAUGGAGGCGUGGGUUCGAAUCCCACUUCUGACACAUCCUUUUUCUCCUCCUGCAAUUUUCUACGCAACGGUAUCGACUUGA